UGGGGAAUAUUGGACAAUGGGCGAAAGCCUGAUCCAGCCAUGCCGCGUGUGUGAAGAAGGUCUUCGGAUUGUAAAGCACUUUAAGUUGGGAGGAAGGGCAUUAACCUAAUACGUUAGUGUUUUGACGUUACCGACAGAAUAAGCACCGGCUA
This 152-nucleotide ribosomal RNA is filed under the name uncultured bacterium. Its description in RNAcentral is "partial 16S ribosomal RNA". It matches the Rfam family "Bacterial small subunit ribosomal RNA", at positions 355 to 499 of the family's 1533-position model. The record is from RNAcentral.